Non-coding RNA from Myotis lucifugus (little brown bat), 73 nucleotides. NCBI's taxonomy places the organism in Eukaryota, Metazoa, Chordata, Mammalia, Chiroptera, Vespertilionidae. The record is from Rfam.
GCUGGUGUUGCUAAGUGGUUAGAGUGUUGGUCUGUGCACCGAUGGGUACCGGUUCAAUUCCUGGUCAAGGGCA